CUACGGGAGGCAGCAGUUGGGAAUCUUGCACAAUGGGGGAAACCCUGAUGCAGCGACGCCGCGUGGAGGACGAAGGAUUUAGGUCUGUAAACUCCUUUUACCAGGAAAGACUUAGGACGGUACCUGGUGAAUAAGCCCCGGCUAACUACGUGCCAGCAGCCGCGGUGAUACGUAGGGGGCAAGCGUUGUCCGGAUUUACUGGGCGUAAAGGGCGCGUAGGCGGUCCGCUAAGCAUGAAGUGAAAUCUCCAGGGCUCAACCCGGAAACUGCUUUGUGAACUGGCGGACUCGAGGGAGGCAGAGGUAGAUGGAAUUCCCGGUGUAGCGGUGACAUGCAUUGAUAUCGGGAGGAACACCCAUGGCGAAGGCAGUCUACUGGGCCUCUCCUGACGCUGAGGCGCGAAAGCGUGGGUAGCAAACAGAAUUAGAUACCCGAGUAGUCC
Molecule: ribosomal RNA, 442 nt
Filed under: uncultured bacterium
Lineage: Bacteria
Description: bacterial SSU rRNA
Rfam family: Bacterial small subunit ribosomal RNA
Source: RNAcentral